AUGCCGACGUCGGCAGCUCAACUAAGCAAAGAUGACCGACACCCGCUGCACCCAUCGGAGAAGAACCACCGCCCGCCAAGCACUCCGAAGCCUCGAGUACCAAGCAACAUCUUUAGGAAGAAAUGCGACGACGACGCCGCUACUGCCCGGACAAGUCCUAGGGUUUCCCCCGGUACACGGAUGGCAUCGGGAAAGGGGGUAUCACCGACGCCCCUCAGGAGGGUCCGGCAACGCCCAUGGGCGCAGCCGCGCCGAUGGCGAACGAGCCGCCAGAGAUUUCUCCCGCCCCGAAACCACCACCGCCACCUCAGACAAUCGAAAGCGCACCGCCCAACAUGCCGCCCACCAGCCUGUGCCACCACGGAUAUCACACCAUAUUCACCGUUUCACCGAGGCCACCAACACGAGACCUGGAGGUAG
RNAcentral lists this ribosomal RNA (420 nucleotides) under Triticum aestivum (bread wheat). RNAcentral's name for it is "partial small subunit ribosomal RNA". Lineage: Eukaryota; Viridiplantae; Streptophyta; Magnoliopsida; Poales; Poaceae. The record is from RNAcentral.